Molecule: ribosomal RNA, 477 nt
Filed under: uncultured soil bacterium
Lineage: Bacteria
Description: bacterial SSU rRNA
Rfam family: Bacterial small subunit ribosomal RNA
Source: RNAcentral
AGGACGAACGCUGGCGGCGUGCUUAACACAUGCAAGUCGAGCGGUAAGGCCUUUCGGGGUACACGAGCGGCGAACGGGUGAGUAACACGUGGGUGAUCUGCCCCGCACUUCGGGAUAAGCCUGGGAAACUGGGUCUAAUACCGGAUAUGACCUCCUAUCGCAUGGUGGGUGGUGGAAAGAUUUAUCGGUGCAGGAUGGGCCCGCGGCCUAUCAGCUUGUUGGUGGGGUAAUGGCCUACCAAGGCGACGACGGGUAGCCGACCUGAGAGGGUGACCGGCCACACUGGGACUGAGACACGGCCCAGACUCCUACGGGAGGCAGCAGUGGGGAAUAUUGCACAAUGGGCGACAGCCUGAUGCAGCGACGCCGCGUGAGGAUGACGGCCUUCGGGUUGUUAAACCGUCUUUCGAGUCAGGGACGAAGCGCGAAGUGACGGUACCUGCAGAAGAAGCACGGCUAACUCGUGCCAGCAGCCGC